CCUACGGGCGGCAGCAGUGGGGGAUAUUGCACAAUGGGGGGAACCCUGAUGCAGCGACGCCGCGUGGGUGAAGAAGCGCCUCGGCGCGUAAAGCCCUGUCAGCAGGGAAGAAAAUGACGGUACCUGAAGAAGAAGCCCCGGCUAACUACGUGCCAGCAGCCGCGGUAAUACGUAGGGGGCAAGCGUUAUCCGGAGUUGCGGGGUGUAAAGGGGGCGCAGACGGCGAUGCAAGCCAGGAGUGAAAGUCCGGGGCACAACCCCGGGACUGCUGUUGGAACUGGGUGGCUGGAGGGCCGGAGGGGCAGGCGGAAUUCCUGGGGUAGCGGGGAAAUGCGUAGAUAUCAGGAGGAACACCGGUGGCGAAGGCGGCCUGCUGGACUGCAACUGACGUUGAGGCCCGAAAGCGUGGGGAGCAAACAGGAUUAGAUACCCUUGUAGUC
Molecule: ribosomal RNA, 440 nt
Filed under: uncultured bacterium
Lineage: Bacteria
Description: partial 16S ribosomal RNA
Rfam family: Bacterial small subunit ribosomal RNA
Source: RNAcentral